UACGGGGGGGGCAAGCGUUGUUCGGACUUACUGGGCGUAAAGCGCACGUAGGCGGCUCUUUAAGUCGGGGGUGAAAUCCUGGAGCUCAACUCCAGAACUGCCUUCGAUACUGUAGAGCUUGAGUUCGGGAGAGGUGAGUGGAACUGCGAGUGUAGAGGUGAAAUUCGUAGAUAUUCGCAAGAACACCAGUGGCGAAGGCGGCUCACUGGCCCGAUACUGACGCUGAGGUGCGAAAGCGUGGGGAGCAAACAGG
This 253-nucleotide ribosomal RNA is filed under the name uncultured bacterium. Its description in RNAcentral is "partial 16S ribosomal RNA". It matches the Rfam family "Bacterial small subunit ribosomal RNA", at positions 524 to 776 of the family's 1533-position model. The record is from RNAcentral.